UCUGACCGAGCAACGCCGCGUGAGUGAAGAAGGUUUUCGGAUCGUAAAACUCUGUUGUUAGAGAAGAACGUCAGUGAGAGUGGAAAGUUCACUGAGUGACGGUAUCUAACCAGAAAGGGACGGCUAACUACGUGCCAGCAGCCGCGGUAAUA
Molecule: ribosomal RNA, 152 nt
Filed under: uncultured Lactococcus sp.
Lineage: Bacteria; Bacillati; Bacillota; Bacilli; Lactobacillales; Streptococcaceae
Description: partial 16S ribosomal RNA
Rfam family: Bacterial small subunit ribosomal RNA
Source: RNAcentral